This 497-nucleotide ribosomal RNA is filed under the name uncultured bacterium. RNAcentral describes it as "partial 16S ribosomal RNA". It matches the Rfam family "Bacterial small subunit ribosomal RNA", at positions 28 to 507 of the family's 1533-position model. The record is from RNAcentral.
GAUGAACGCUGGCGGCGUGCCUAAUACAUGCAAGUCGAGCGAACGGACGAGAAGCUUGCUUUUCUGAUGUUAGCGGCGGGCGGGUGAGUAACACGUGGAUAACCUACCUAUAAGACUGGGAUAACUUCGGGAAACCGGAGCUAAUACCGGAUAAUAUUUUGAACCGCAUGGUUCAAAAGUGAAAGACGGUCUUGCUGUCACUUAUAGAUGGAUCCGCGCUGCAUUAGCUAGUUGGUAAGGUAACGGCUUACCAAGGCAACGAUGCAUAGCCGACCUGAGAGGGUGAUCGGCCACACUGGAACUGAGAAACGGUCCAGACUCCUACGGGAGGCAGCAGUAGGGAAUCUUCCGCAAUGGGCGAAAGCCUGACGGAGCAACGCCGCGUGAGUGAUGAAGGUCUUCGGAUCGUAAAACUCUGUUAUUAGGGAAGAACAUAUGUGUAAGUAACUGUGCACAUCUUGACGGUACCUAAUCAGAAAGCCACGGCUAACUACGUG